RNAcentral lists this unclassified non-coding RNA (230 nucleotides) under Hevea brasiliensis (rubber tree). Lineage: Eukaryota; Viridiplantae; Streptophyta; Magnoliopsida; Malpighiales; Euphorbiaceae. The record is from RNAcentral.
ACCUCCUCCCUUAUUUACAUUUUAUUUCGAUACUAAGUAUUUUAUGAUGAACAUUCUGUUGGUUUUCUUGGUUUCUUUCUUGUCUCUUCUUUAUUUUGAUUUAAACUCUUAUUGAAAUUCUGCUUUGGUUUGAGUUUGAGUCGUUUGAUUUAUUUCCGUAGUUAUUUAAAUUUCUAAUCAUUCAUCUUUUUAUGCCCUAUUUGCUUUAAGAUAAAAGUAUGAAUCUGGGU